This is a non-coding RNA of Aphanomyces astaci, 46 nucleotides long. Lineage: Eukaryota; Oomycota; Saprolegniomycetes; Saprolegniales; Verrucalvaceae. The record is from Rfam.
CCCACGGUGUUUAUCAACACCACCCAUGUACAUGUCAAGAAAUGAU